UUUUUUUUUCUUUUUUUUUUUUUGGGUCGAAGUGUCGCUACCACCAACGAAGAAAUUUGAGGAUACAGUCUCAAAUUAUAAGCCAAAGACAAACUAAAAAGACUACAAUUACAAUACAUCCUAUCGCUAAAACAUUCUUUUCGCAUACUGAUAGUUAAUUCUUUUCAGAAAUGAACAAAUAGGGAGAACAAUUUGUCAACUAGACAGAGACCAACUCACGCAAACAACCCUAGGCCAAAAUAUCUACUAAGCUGCAAAACAUCACACGAUUAAAUCAGCAGGCUCCAGAGCCUAUGAUCCUCAAAUCAUUCAUGAGUGGCACCACCUUUCACUUGAAAAAACCCAAGCACAAUCAUAAAUCUCCCUUACAUGAGCGCCAAUCUUCCCAUGAGAUAAGAGCUUGGUUUUUUCUGGAAAUUUCCCCAGCAAUUCCAACAUGGAAGGAAAUACUAGACACAAGAAGAGUCAUCCGAUGCAAGCAUGAAAACAUUUUACUAGCUAGGAGAAGAAGAGAACAAGACAAGCAAAGCAGACAAGGUAAACAACCAAGCCCCAUCUAAUCUGACAGCAUCAGCAAAAGCGACAGAAAUCACUCAUUUGUUCACAUAGACUCCUGAAUAAAAUCAAUCCUAUGCCAUCCUAAAAUGGGUGGCCAAAUAAAAUUGCAGCACAAUCAAGAGAAUCUCAGAGGCCUCCACUGCAGCAAUAAACAAAGAGCAGAAAGGAAAUUAACAGUAUCCUCCAGCUGUAAUCAUACAAAAUUAGUUAACCAGCAUACAUAAGGGCUUCUUUCUCUUAACCCAUAUCGGAACCUCAAACAUCAAAAGGAAGUGAUUAAAAUCUUCUCCUUGGGCUUCUAGAGCGAUGACCACGUGGAGAUCU
This 882-nucleotide long non-coding RNA is filed under the name Coffea arabica (coffee). RNAcentral describes it as "long non-coding RNA (CARA_LNC000614)". The record is from RNAcentral. Lineage: Eukaryota; Viridiplantae; Streptophyta; Magnoliopsida; Gentianales; Rubiaceae.